AAGAUCAGUGGAGGUCAGAGGUCACACCAGGGCCAGAUGAGGGCUAGUUUCCCAGAAGGGAUGACAAACAUUCCCAGGCUUUCAGCUCACAUUUGAAUUGUACACACCACCUUUGCAUUAGUCUUUUGAGCAAUAAAAGAGGGAAGCCCCCAAAGCAGACACUUGAAGUCACACCCAUGAAGAGGAACCACUGGCUGAGACCUAUUCCAAUUGGGACUUCCCAGCUUGUGAGCCCAGAUGUAGGUGUUCCCCGGAUUUGAUCCCCAAGUCCUCCAGCUCCAUGUCACUGCGGAAAGCACAGAGGGACCUGCCACCUCGGCCAAGGUUCAAGCACCAACCAGAUCCUGAUUUGAAUAAACCAACUGUAAAAAGACACUUCUGAGUCACUUGGAGAAAUUUCAAUAUGGACUGGGUGUGGAAGGACUCCAAAGUAUUACUGUUGUUGUACAUUUUGCUGGAUGUGAUGAUAAUGGCAUUGAAGCUAUGUGAAAAAUGUCCAUUUCCUCUUUUAUUUAUUUAUUUUUGUAGAGACAGAAUCUUAUUUUGU
Otolemur garnettii (small-eared galago) is the source of this 547-nucleotide long non-coding RNA. RefSeq lists it as uncharacterized. The record is from RefSeq and is a predicted model, not a curated record. Lineage: Eukaryota; Metazoa; Chordata; Mammalia; Primates; Galagidae. The transcript has 3 exons.